CGUCCAGCCAUUCAGCCUGCAGCUGGGCCUUCCCACAGGGCCUUCUGCUGAGCAUAAGCCUUAGCAACUUUAACAGUUAUAACCCCAUAUCCCGCAUUCAGACUGUAAAUUGUACCACCUAGUAGCUUGAGAAUUUUGUACAGGAAUUUCCUUAGGACUCCUGGGCAAAUGUCACCUGCUCCAGACAAUUUUAUUACUGUUUUAGUGAUCUAUUUUAAGAACUUUUCUCCUGACUUUUCAAUUUGAAAAUGUCAUUCUGCUGAAAAAAAAAAAAAAAAAAAAAAAAAAAAGAGUCCUCUGUAAUUUUCUCAAUAAUGAAUCACAGGUACUCCUCUUGAAGAUAGAUGGAAUUCCUUAAAAUCGGUAUCUCACUGUCUGUUCUGGCAUAAUCCUUUGAUGAGAAAACCUUGACGGCCUUUCAGAAGAGGAAGAAAUCCCUCCACUGCAGAGUCACCAGAGACUGGCUAUUACUAAUUGAUUCUACAUGGAGAACACAUAGUGGUGACAGCCAUCAGUCUGAAACAAUCCUUCCUGCUCGUAGCAUUCUCACAGCUGGGUGAGAAGAGAUCUGGGAACACUCUGGCUGUGCACUGGUUGUAUCAUCUCUGGUGCUCUGGAAAUCCACAGCUGUGAUCUUCCAGCAGAUUCUGUCUGUGACACACUGGCUCAAGGGAUGUCCAAGUCAUACAGAUUGGUGCAGCCUUCUCCAGAAGAAACUGAGUAUCCCACCUAUGGAUGCCUUACAGAUCAUAUCAAGGACAGUCUACUGGAAGUGAACAUCGUUUUAGGCAAGAGAGAGUCAACAACCCAAGUACAAGGAGACUAAUGACUUAAAAUUGAGCCUUCUCUGUACAACUGAUGGAGUUUUGUUCCUGGGCUAUCUCCUUCUCGUUUCAUUCAGCAUGAAUGGCAGAUUCCUACAUCGUGUCAAGUUUCGGAUCACCAUAGAAACAAACUAGGAGGCAGUUUCAUUAAUCAUUUAGAGCACAAGAAGUCUAGGUCAGUCUGAUUGCAGCAUAUAGAGUAUCAUCCUAGCGCCACAUGGGACUCAGUUGAUUUGAAUUAAAAAAGAUUAAGCUGCCCCUAGGACGCUCAGCAUCAUCAGUUUAAGUUCUCAUGUAACAGUGGUCUCUGGAGCCACAUGGAUUAGGAGAGUGAAGCUAUGCAUUUAUUUUUCAGGGCUCAGUGAAACAUUAGAUGAGUGCAGGUGUCUGAGGGGGAAAAAAGGACAAAGAUCACAUAUAGUUUUUUAGACUUGUUGCUGUUCUUUUGAAACUGGAAACAAUAACUCAGUUUUAUUUCUCCAGUGACAGUUACCGCUCUUUUUUGGCCAUGCAAUGGUACAUCUGUUACCCAAUGUUUACAUUUUAGAUUUACAAAAAUUUCAUACUAUGAAGCAUAGUUUUAGCACAGAGCUGCAAGUUGGGCAUAGAAGUUUACAUGAAUGCUGACUUUUGCUUCUCCUGAUGGGGUAAAAAAUGCGUGAAAUAAAUACUGGUGACAUUUUAGUUUUGCUUGAAUGAAGAUUUAUUGCUCCCAGGAAACUGACAUACAGGCAGCUACAAAUCAACUUGACUAUGAAAUAGUUGUAUAUGCACACCACAAAAUGAGCCCCCCCUUCCAAAGUACUCACCUUAUUUAUGGGUCUUCCAGUACUUCAAAGACCUUCAGUAACUUAGUCCAGACUGGUUUAUUGCUUUUCAGAACUAAGACAUUUCAAGGGGAAAGUUGCAGGUUACAGUAUAUUAGGACUCUUUCUCUUGGGGGUCUAAGAAUCCCAUGAUGCUAUAUGAACUGUUGAUCUAAAGCUUAUUACAGCAUGACUUCCUAGAGUAUAAUUCUUAAAUCUUUUAAGUUAUACUGUACUGUCUUUAAUCCCAAGUGCUAAACCUAAAAGAAGAACAAGCUUUACAAAACUCAGAAUGCCAUCUGUGAGCUGAUGUAAUUACACUUUGUUAAAACACUGUUCACUUACUUGCUCAGACUGCCUGUGACCUAUUUCAAAUUAAGUUGUUUUAAUUUUCAACAAAUGUUUUACAUAAAACAAUCAGAGAACAAAAUUUCAAAUCACAAUAUUCCUCCUGAAAAGUAGUUCUGUGGACUGAGUUUCUCCAGUUUACUCGAUAACCAAAAAAUUCCCUAUCCUGUGUAUUUUGUUCAUUUGCCCUUGCUGUGCCAGUUACCUGGGCUGUGACAGUAUCAUGAGCAGUGAAGCCUCCUGUCACAACACAUCAGGAGGUACCCAGACCAUGUCAAUACUUUUUUGCUGAUGUACUGUCAUCCUGGGGAUUUCCAGGAAAGAAAUGUCAUUAAGCUCAAUUUUAGAAUUUCCCAGCACUGUGCAAACAGACUGAUUAUGAGAAGGGGGAAGUGAGUAUUAUUCCCACUUUUACAAGUGAAAGUUGAUAUGAUGUCACGCUUGCACCACAACAGAGGGCAUGGACCACCAUUGGAGAGCUCCUGUUUUCCCACCUGGUGCUCAGCCCAGAUCCUCCUGUUUACAGCUUUCUGUUGAUGCCCACAAGAUGGAAAAACAAGAGCUAAAGCAUAGAGAAAGAGUCCCGAUGGAAGGCACAAAACAGCUCAUGGUAGCUAAAGCUUAUUGAGUUCCAGCCAUGGGCUGGUUGCUAUGAAACAGAAUAGAACACAUGGCCUCUAUGAAGCAGCAUUUCUAUGGUCUACUUCUAGGGUUGCCAUCCAGCCAUUUCCAGCCAGGUUGGAGAGCUUUGCCAUCACCUGGUUGCAUGUGAGACUGGUGAAUUUGCCUGUGUGAGAAGGAGCAGCUGUGGCACCCCAAACCUGCCAGCAGCAAUGAUGGCAACCAGGCUGUCCCACCCACACGUUUCUGCUCCACUGACCCACCAGGUGUCUCCCACCAGCCGGGACGUCUGCCCUCAGCCACAGCCAAAGCCUGCCAGAAACAGUCCCUCCAAUUGUGUCUCUUGUUCAAAGCCACCAAGCCUGAAGAAGCACAAACAGCUCAUUCACAGUGUAAAGCAGUGCUGAGCCAGUGGUGUGGAACUGUGUGGAACUGGCCACCAUCUCCUCCAUCUCACCAGGAGCUGCUCUAUUUUGGCUACUUAUUUGUUUCCUUUAAUUCAAUAUGACUUUCCCUUAAUUGCUUUUUUCCCUACCUCUAGAGGAAACGUCUCUCUCUGCAGUCACAGUUUCAGGUCCCAGUGCCCCAUAGCUAGAGGAUGGAACAGGAUGUUCCCUACCUGUAGGUUUCAUGAAGGGUCCCCAGAACUGCAGCAAGGCUGCAGCAACCAUACAUACCCCUCUGUGCCCUGAAACGGGAAGCUAGCCCAAGCACAUCAGGAGAUGGCUGCCCCUAAAUGAAGCUGCAGCUGUGGGUUGUUGUGAAUUGUCUUGCAUGUGCCACUUUACAGAUAUCUUAUUUUUGCUCUUCAUCUUGUGGCCAAUGGUAAUUUCAAGGUUAAAGCCUACAUGCUCAGCUCUAUUAACACUUUAUUAAAAUUACCAUGAAGCUGAAAAGGAGAUAAUUUCAUUUUUCUACCAAACACAUCCUUCAGGACCCAGACAGGCCUGGAAAGCUGCUCCUGGGCUUCUGCCAGUUGGAGGGAGAACUGUCAGGUUUGAAAUUACACAGAAGCCCAUGUGGUAUCCCUUACUUCUGCUGCUGCCCAAAGCCAUCAGAAGGAAGACAGCUUCUGUACAGCCCUUUCUAGCCAAGCAAUUGUGGCAGUAUUGUUUUUUAAUAACCAUGUAGCAAAAUCACUUUGCCUGGUAUGUGUUGCCUACAGAUAGUCUCCAAAACAUCUUUUGGCAAAAAACAUGAAGAAAAGAUUUGCAUUCACUCUACUAUGUAAAGCUAAUAUAAAACAUUUCUAACUAAUUACAUUACAUUGGCUGACUCUUGCCUUACUCUUUUGCUGUAACUACAGUGACAAAAAAAAGUUAUGUUCCUUUUGCAUUUCACAUGGAGUGGAUCAGAAUUAUUUGAAUUCCUGUGCACAGAUCAUCAUCUGAACCAUGUGCUUGUUCCCAGCCUUUCACUUAUGCCUGACAUAAGCAGUAAUUUGAAGAUGUUGAGGUGUCAAAAAGGAUCUGAAUCAUUCUGACAAACCUUUUCUCAUUCAGCUGUUGACCCAUAGCUCUGUUUGAAUUUGGGAAGCCUGAGGUCAGAAUGAAAAACAUCAUUUUUCUUGUAAGCCAAAUAUAUUUGACUGAGAAAAGGUAAGCUAAUAAAGAUGGAGAGGCAAUUUUUAAUGUCACUUUUUAGAGUACAGUAAUUUGUCUAAUCUUAUUGCCUUGGAAUAUGAUUACACGUAAUACA
Parus major (Great Tit) is the source of this 4297-nucleotide long non-coding RNA. RefSeq lists it as uncharacterized. The record is from RefSeq and is a predicted model, not a curated record. The transcript is spliced from 6 exons. NCBI's taxonomy places the organism in Eukaryota, Metazoa, Chordata, Aves, Passeriformes, Paridae.